UGGUUAUAGAAACAAAUGCUAAGAGGAAAGACAAAACUUCCCCGUCCACAUACAACAAUUUAAUAGAUAAAAGAACAGUUAAAUGAAAAAAAAAAGGUAGAAAUUUUAAACUUUGUUAUAGCUUUAAAACAUUAACGUCUGGUACAAUUAGAAAUCACAUUCAGAUCUCAAACUUUUUUUUUUAAAAAGUAUGGCUCCUUAUUAAAAAAAAAAAUACUGUAUCCCAUUUGAAAUGAAAACGCAGGCUGGCCUAGCUAAGGUGGGUCCCCCCUACUUGCACCCCUCCCCCCGCCCUGCCCAGGUGCUGGGGUGUAUGUGUCCCUCCUGGGUGCCCC
Molecule: long non-coding RNA, 335 nt
Filed under: Bos taurus (domestic cattle)
Lineage: Eukaryota; Metazoa; Chordata; Mammalia; Artiodactyla; Bovidae
Description: long non-coding RNA NONBTAT015838
Source: RNAcentral